GGGUUGUGAGGUUAAGCGACUAAGCGUACACGGUGGAUGCCCUGGCAGUCAGAGGCGAUGAAGGACGUGCUAAUCUGCGAUAAGCGUCGGUGAGGUGAUAUGAACCGUUAUAACCGGCGAUUUCCGAAUGGGGAAACCCAGUGUGUUUCGACACACUAUCAUUAACUGAAUCCAUAGGUUAAUGAGGCGAACCGGGGGAACUGAAACAUCUAAGUACCCCGAGGAAAAGAAAUCAACCGAGAUUCCCCCAGUAGCGGCGAGCGAACGGGGAGGAGCCCAGAGCCUGAAUCAGUGUGUGUGUUAGUGGAAGCGUCUGGAAAGGCGCGCGAUACAGGGUGACAGCCCCGUACACAAAAAUACACAUAUUGUGAGCUCGAUGAGUAGGGCGGGACACGUGGUAUCCUGUCUGAAUAUGGGGGGACCAUCCUCCAAGGCUAAAUACUCCUGACUGACCGAUAGUGAACCAGUACCGUGAGGGAAAGGCGAAAAGAACCCCGGCGAGGGGAGUGAAAAAGAACCUGAAACCGUGUACGUACAAGCAGUGGGAGCCUCUUUAUGGGGUGACUGCGUACCUUUUGUAUAAUGGGUCAGCGACUUAUAUUCUGUAGCAAGGUUAACCGAAUAGGGGAGCCGAAGGGAAACCGAGUCUUAACUGGGCGUUAAGUUGCAGGGUAUAGACCCGAAACCCGGUGAUCUAGCCAUGGGCAGGUUGAAGGUUGGGUAACACUAACUGGAGGACCGAACCGACUAAUGUUGAAAAAUUAGCGGAUGACUUGUGGCUGGGGGUGAAAGGCCAAUCAAACCGGGAGAUAGCUAGUUCUCCCCGAAAGCUAUUUAGGUAGCGCCUCGUGAAUUCAUCUCCGGGGGUAGAGCACUGUUUCGGCAAGGGGGUCAUC
This 896-nucleotide ribosomal RNA is filed under the name Escherichia coli. RNAcentral describes it as "bacterial LSU rRNA". It matches the Rfam family "Bacterial large subunit ribosomal RNA", at positions 1 to 931 of the family's 2925-position model. The record is from RNAcentral. Lineage: Bacteria; Pseudomonadati; Pseudomonadota; Gammaproteobacteria; Enterobacterales; Enterobacteriaceae.